CUGCUAUGAUGAUUUGCCAUGCUAAUACUGAGUGGUGUCAUUAUUUGACGACCACUAUGGGUGAAAUCUGUCUCAUUUCCUCUGAGCAUGACAGCUGAUCAUG
RNAcentral lists this small nucleolar RNA (103 nucleotides) under Dermacentor silvarum. Lineage: Eukaryota; Metazoa; Arthropoda; Arachnida; Ixodida; Ixodidae. The record is from RNAcentral.